This 600-nucleotide ribosomal RNA is filed under the name uncultured bacterium. Its description in RNAcentral is "bacterial SSU rRNA". It matches the Rfam family "Bacterial small subunit ribosomal RNA", at positions 884 to 1482 of the family's 1533-position model. The record is from RNAcentral.
GCCCGCAAGGCUAAAACUCAAAGGAAUUGACGGGGGCCNGCACAAGCGGUGGAGCAUGUGGUUCAAUUCGAUGCAACGCGAAGAACCUUACCUGGUCUUGACAUCCCGGGAAUCUCCCUGAAAGGGGAGAGUGCCUUCGGGAACCCGGUGACAGGUGCUGCAUGGCUGUCGUCAGCUCGUGUCGUGAGAUGUUGGGUUAAGUCCCGCAACGAGCGCAACCCUUGUCUUUAGUUGCCAGCGGUUCGGCCGGGCACUCUAGAGAGACUGCCGGUGUCAAACCGGAGGAAGGUGGGGAUGACGUCAAGUCCUCAUGGCCCUUACGACCAGGGCUACACACGUGCUACAAUGGCCGGUACAAAGGGCAGCAACACCGCGAGGUGAAGCAAAUCCCAAAAAACCGGCCUCAGUACGGAUUGCAGUCUGCAACUCGACUGCAUGAAGUUGGAAUCGCUAGUAAUCGCGGAUCAGCACGCCGCGGUGAAUACGUUCCCGGGCCUUGUACACACCGCCCGUCACACCACGAAAGCUGCUCGAACCAGAAGUCGGUGACCCAACCUCUCGGGGACGGAGCCGCCCAAGGUUCUGGCAGUGAUUGGGGUG